RNAcentral lists this ribosomal RNA (253 nucleotides) under uncultured bacterium. RNAcentral's name for it is "partial 16S ribosomal RNA". It matches the Rfam family "Bacterial small subunit ribosomal RNA", at positions 524 to 776 of the family's 1533-position model. The record is from RNAcentral.
UACAGAGGUCUCAAGCGUUGUUCGGAUUCAUUGGGCGUAAAGGGUGUGUAGGUGGCGCCGUAAGUCAGGUGUGAAAUCUCGGGGCUUAACUCCGAAACUGCAUUUGAUACUGCGGUGCUUGAGGACUGGAGAGGAGACUGGAAUUCACGGUGUAGCAGUGAAAUGCGUAGAUAUCGUGAGGAAGACCAGUGGCGAAGGCGGGUCUCUGGACAGUUCCUGACGCUGAGGCGCGAAGGCCAGGGGAGCAAACGGG